CCAGCUCUCUUUGCCUUUUGGCUUAGAUCAAGUGUAGUAUCUGUUCUUUUCAGUUUUAAUCUCUGAAAUGUCUCCACGCGAGACUUUUUUCUUUACGAUUAAUUCUUAUUUUUGGUGUUUGGGGCGAGAGUCUUUUCCCAUGUGCUUGCAUAUGGGACUCUUGCUCAGUGUGUCCCUGGUAUUACACUGCUUCCGGGUGACGCGAAUGUUG
This 211-nucleotide small nuclear RNA is filed under the name Trichoderma reesei QM6a. Its description in RNAcentral is "U2 spliceosomal RNA". It matches the Rfam family "U2 spliceosomal RNA". Rfam says of the family: U2 is a small nuclear RNA (snRNA) component of the spliceosome (involved in pre-mRNA splicing). The record is from Rfam by way of RNAcentral. Lineage: Eukaryota; Fungi; Ascomycota; Sordariomycetes; Hypocreales; Hypocreaceae.